AUCGUACCCCAAACCGACACAGGUGGUCAGGUAGAGAAUACCAAGGCGCUUGAGAGAACUCGGGUGAAGGAACUAGGCAAAAUGGUGCCGUAACUUCGGGAGAAGGCACGCUGAUAGGUAGGUGAAGUCCCUGCGGACGGAGCUGAAAUCAGUCGAAGAUACCAGCUGGCUGCAACUGUUUAUUAAAAACACAGCACUGUGCAAACACGAAAGUGGACGUAUACGGUGUGACGCCUGCCCGGUGCCGGAAGGGUAAUUGAUGGG
RNAcentral lists this ribosomal RNA (264 nucleotides) under Enterobacter hormaechei. RNAcentral's name for it is "partial 23S ribosomal RNA". It matches the Rfam family "Bacterial large subunit ribosomal RNA", at positions 1641 to 1888 of the family's 2925-position model. Lineage: Bacteria; Pseudomonadati; Pseudomonadota; Gammaproteobacteria; Enterobacterales; Enterobacteriaceae. The record is from RNAcentral.